UGGGGAAUAUUGGACAAUGGGCGCAAGCCUGAUCCAGCCAUGCCGCGUGUGUGAAGAAGGCCUUCGGGUUGUAAAGCACUUUUGUUGGGGAAGCGGUACCCAAAGAAUAAGCACCGGCUAACUUCGUGCCAGCAGCCGCGGUAAUACGAAGGGUGCAAGCGUUACUCGGAAUUACUGGGCGUAAAGCGUGCGUAGGUGGUUUGUUAAGUCUGAUGUGAAAGCCCUGGGCUCAACCUGGGAAUGGCAUUGGAUACUGGCAGUCUAGAGUGCGGUAGAGGGUAGUGGAAUUCCCGGUGUAGCAGUGAAAUGCGUAGAUAUCGGGAGGAACAUCCGUGGCGAAGGCGACUACCUGGACCAGCACUGACACUGAGGCACGAAAGCGU
Molecule: ribosomal RNA, 383 nt
Filed under: uncultured bacterium
Lineage: Bacteria
Description: bacterial SSU rRNA
Rfam family: Bacterial small subunit ribosomal RNA
Source: RNAcentral